Brassica napus (rape) is the source of this 2214-nucleotide long non-coding RNA. RefSeq lists it as uncharacterized. The record is from RefSeq and is a predicted model, not a curated record. The transcript has 2 exons. Lineage: Eukaryota; Viridiplantae; Streptophyta; Magnoliopsida; Brassicales; Brassicaceae.
AAACGUUUCCAAAACAGAAUAGCGAGUUUCCAAAAUAGAAACGCAAGUUUCCAUUAAGUUUCCAAACUGAAAUUUUUAAGAAACGAGUUUCUAAUGCAUUUCCGCAAGUUUCCGAGAGAUUCCAAUUCCAAAACGUUUCCGAAACAUGAAACGGACAUUCAACGGAGUUUCCAUGCAACAUAGGAGUUAGCCAUCAAAAAAUGUACUUAGAAAUAUUGUCAUACUAGUUAUCUAAAAUCCUUGUUUGUUUUGGAUCUUUAAUGAAAAACAUAUGGUAUUUUAUUAUUUAUUUGUGUUUUAUUAAAGUGUAAACUCCAAACCCCAAAGACUAAAAGUCUAAUCUCUUAAAAUUUUAUCCUCAAAUUUCAUUAUAAAUCUCAAACCCUAAAAGAAUGAUAUAUAUAUACACAAUUAUAGGGUUUAAACCCCUAAACAUAAAUUUAAAAACUUUAAUCUUAAACUUAAACACAAAAUUUAAUAAUUUAUAAAUUUAAUCUCAAAUUUCUAUUUUAAACCUCAAACACUAAAUUUUAAAUCUAUACCCUAAAUCUGAUACUUUAAACCCCAAACUUAAACCCUACAUACUAAGUCAUAAAUCUAAUCUUUUCAAACUUAUAAUUUAAUUUUUAAACUUAAACUCCAAGUCUAUUCUAAAACUCAAACCAUAUACACAACUCUAAAUCUAAACCCAAAAAACUAUGUUUCAAACCCUAAACUCACUUAAUUUUAUUAUUAUUACAUCAUUACUUUUACUUAAUUUAAAAUUUAUCUACAAAGUGAAAACUAAUAAUGUUAUUAAUCUUAUAUCAUUAUUUUUAUAAAUUUAAAUGUAUAACUUAAUUUCUUAAUGAAAUAAAAGUUUUAGUUAAUCUUCUAGAUAUUGAACCAUUCAACAUUUUACACCAUUUAUCUUUAAACUUAAAUCUAAAUUUUAACACUAUUCAUCUUAACCCUCAAUACUAUUUUCAAACAUUUAAUAUCAUAUAUACAUAAAUUUUCCAUAUACAUAAUAUAAAUUUCAAACUUUCAAUAAUUUUAUAAUAAUUAUACAUACAAAAAAGACAAUUUUAUUCUGUUUUUCGUUUGAGCCAUUGAUUGAUUCAGAAUCAAAGGCCCAAAAUCAAUCUUUUAUUUAUCUUCACCCUUUUUUUCUAUUGGUUUGGCAUGGAUCACCAUUUUGCACCCUUGGAUGAUAAUGAAUCAACGACUGAGAUUAAUUGUUCAUUAAUUUUUUAAAAAUUAUUUUUCGAGAUUUGAGUAGAUCUCGUGUUUGAGAGAGAGAGAGAAAGUAAGCGAUGCAUAUCGACUCCUUCUCGAAAGUAAAGAUCUCAUCUUCUCUAUGAUGAUUAUGGAUCGACUCCUUCUCGAAAAUUUUCUUCUUUCUCUCAUCACUGAAACUGAACCAGAGCGCGAGGCUCAUGCAGAGGCUUGAGCAUCGUCCGUUCGUCGUCCGGUGUGAAGCUUCUUCCAACGGAAGGGAAGAAGCCGGAUAUGAAGAAGAUGUGCUGGUGUAGAUGAGCCGAGCAAGAAGAAGAAAAAGAGAAAGAGGGAGAAGACAGAGACGUAAGGAGGGAAGACGAAGAAGAUGGAAGAGGAAGGCGACAACAAAGUGGCGUAGAUUAGGUUUAGUAUUGGUUGGUUUAUUAGGUUUGGUGUAGACAGGGUUAGUUUAAUAAACCGGGUUUGUGUGUAAACCAAUGUUACGAAAUAAACUUAUUAUUAAUUGUAAGCCAAUUAUUGUAUACUGAUCUUGAUUAAUAAAUAAAAUUUAAUUUUUAAUUAUGAAUUAAUUUUCGAUUUAAUUUUGAAUUAUUUAAUUACGAAUUAUGUUUAGGUAUAGUUUUUUAUUUUUUAUUUUAAUUUGGUUUGGGUUCAUAAUUAUUUUUAAUAAAUUUUUGGAUAAUUAAAAACAAAUUAAUAACACGAAACAUUUGCUAUUGUUGUUUAUUAAACUAUAGCAUUCGAAAAAUCCGCUAUCAAAAGUGUUGGACCUAUUAUAACGGACGCUGUCAAAGCGGACAAAGAAGCGCUAUUAUUCAUGACUCAUAGCGUUUUUCGUCCGCUAUUACUACCCUUAUUUCCUGUAGUGCUUUCUAACUCUUAAGUUAUGCUAUGCCAUUGAUAAAGACAGUAAAAAGAAAACCAAAACACCAAUUCCACUUGAUAGUAUAAAAGCUUAAAACCAAAAAAAAACAAUUCAAAAGUACUAAAAUC